AUGAACGCUGGCGGCGUGCCUAAUACAUGCAAGUCGAGCGAACAGACGAGGAGCUUGCUCCUCUGACGUUAGCGGCGGACGGGUGAGUAACACGUGGAUAACCUACCUAUAAGACUGGGAUAACUUCGGGAAACCGGAGCUAAUACCGGAUAAUAUAUUGAACCGCAUGGUUCAAUAGUGAAAGACGGUUUUGCUGUCACUUAUAGAUGGAUCCGCGCCGCAUUAGCUAGUUGGUAAGGUAACGGCUUACCAAGGCAACGAUGCGUAGCCGACCUGAGAGGGUGAUCGGCCACACUGGAACUGAGACACGGUCCAGACUCCUACGGGAGGCAGCAGUAGGGAAUCUUCCGCAAAGGGCAAAAGCCUGACGGAGCAACGCCGCGUGAGUGAUGAAGGUCUUCGGAUCGUAAAACUCUGUUAUUAGGGAAGAACAAAUGUGUAAGUAACUAUGCACGUCUUGACGGUACCUAAUCAGAAAGCCACGGCUAACUACGUG
RNAcentral lists this ribosomal RNA (496 nucleotides) under uncultured bacterium. RNAcentral's name for it is "partial 16S ribosomal RNA". It matches the Rfam family "Bacterial small subunit ribosomal RNA", at positions 29 to 507 of the family's 1533-position model. The record is from RNAcentral.